This 366-nucleotide ribosomal RNA is filed under the name Thraustochytriidae sp. RNAcentral describes it as "Thraustochytriaceae sp. partial small subunit ribosomal RNA". It matches the Rfam family "Eukaryotic small subunit ribosomal RNA", at positions 582 to 975 of the family's 1831-position model. Lineage: Eukaryota; Bigyra; Thraustochytrida; Thraustochytriidae. The record is from RNAcentral.
AUUCCAGCUCCAAUAGCGAAUACUAAUUCUGCUGCAGUUAAAAAGCUCGUAGUUGAAUUUCUGGUAGGGUUGACCUGGCGUUUGGAUGAAUGCCCAUUUAGCUGUGCGUCGGCCCAGCCAUCCUCCCCUUUUUCGGAAGGGGUCGUUCACUGUAAUCAAAUCAGAGUGUUCAAAGCAGGUCGUAGACCGGAAUGUUUAUUAUGGGAUGAUAAGAUAGGACUUGGGUGCUAUUUUGUUGGUUUGCACACUUGAGUAAUGAUUAAAAGGAACAGGUGGAGAUAUUCGUAUUUAGGAGCUAGAGGUGAAAUUCUUGGAUUUCCGAAAGACGAACUACUGCGAAGGCAUUUAUCAAAAAUGUUUUCAUCG